This is a non-coding RNA of Arachis ipaensis, 268 nucleotides long. NCBI's taxonomy places the organism in Eukaryota, Viridiplantae, Streptophyta, Magnoliopsida, Fabales, Fabaceae. The record is from RefSeq and is a predicted model, not a curated record.
GUUCAUCGUAUGUUAGGGAUUUUUUCAUAGAGUCUCAAAUUGAAGAUCUGCAAUCAAUCAAUCAGAUAUGGGGUUUCUACCUAAUCUACUUCCUCAGUGGUGAUGUGAUUGACAGAAUUUUUCUAGCAAACUGUUGCAUAGACAUAAAGCUGUUUGCACUGCAUUUAAUAGCUUCAUUGAGAAAAGAAAGGGCUUUGUGACACUAAGAUGGCAUCACGGUACUGUUUGUCUAACUAGCAAAUCCCCUCCUUUAAAGAGAAAUCCAUGG